CGCUGGCGGCGUGCCUACACAUGCAAGUCGAGCGGAGCUGGUCAUUGGAAAUUUUCGAAUGGAAGAUGGCAAGCUUAGCGGCGGACGGGUGAGUAACGCGUGGGCAACCAACCUUGAUCAGGGGGACAACAUUGGGAAACCAGUGCUAAUACCGCAUAGCUCUAACGGAUGGCAUCAUCGGUUAGAGAAAGAUUUAUCGGAUCAAGACGGGCCCGCGUCUGAUUAGCUAGUUGGUGAGGUAACGGCUCACCAAGGCGAUGAUCAGUAGCCGACCUGAGAGGGUGACCGGCCACACUGGAACUGAGACACGGUCCAGACUCCUACGGGAGGCAGCAGUGGGGAAUAUUGCACAAUGGGGGAAACCCUGAUGCAGCAACGCCGCGUGAGCGAAGAAGGCCUUCGGGUCGUAAAGCUCUGUCCUAAGGGAAGAUUUAGACGGUACCUUAGGAGGAAGCCCCGGCUAACUACGUGCCAGCAGCCGCGGUAAUACGUAGGGGGCAAGCGUUAUCCGGAAUUACUGGGCGUAAAGGGUGCGUAGGCGGUCUAAUAAGUCAGAGGUGAAAGACUAUUGCUCAACGAUAGCAAGCCUUUGAAACUAUUGGACUUGAGUGCAGGAGAGGAGAGUGGAAUUUCUUAGUGUAGCGGUGAAAUGCGUAGAUAUUAGAAGGAACACCCAGUGGCGAAGGCGACUCUCUGGACUGCAACUGACGCUGAGGCCACGAAAGCGUGGGGAGCAAACAGGAUUAGAUACCCUGGUAGUCCACGCCGUAAACGAUGAGUG
This 781-nucleotide ribosomal RNA is filed under the name uncultured bacterium. RNAcentral's name for it is "bacterial SSU rRNA". It matches the Rfam family "Bacterial small subunit ribosomal RNA", at positions 34 to 815 of the family's 1533-position model. The record is from RNAcentral.